Molecule: microRNA precursor, 103 nt
Filed under: Marmota monax (woodchuck)
Lineage: Eukaryota; Metazoa; Chordata; Mammalia; Rodentia; Sciuridae
Source: RNAcentral
AGUGAAAUAGCUGGGUCAAAUGGUGGUUCCAUUCCAGUUUUUCUAAGGAAUCUCCAUAAUGCUUUCCAUAUUGGUUGCACCAAUUUGCAGUCCCACCAGCAAU